This is a long non-coding RNA of Esox lucius (northern pike), 2337 nucleotides long. NCBI's taxonomy places the organism in Eukaryota, Metazoa, Chordata, Actinopteri, Esociformes, Esocidae. The record is from Ensembl.
GAUGAUUUACCAAAACAUGCGGCGUUCAGUGAGGGUGCGUGGAAGCAGGCCAUAAAGGACUUCAGUGAGGGUGUUAACGUGGCUUACUAUGCCCAGGCUGAGUCUCUGGACAUCCCCUCAGCCCUGCUGGAGAGCCUGUAUGUCAAGAGAGCAGCUGCCUACCAAAGCGUGGGGGAGAACGAGCAGUGCGUGCAGGACUGCGACAAGGCGUUGGCACUGAACGAGGGCAGCUGUAAAGCACUCCACAGGAAGGCACUCUGCCUGCGGGAGCUGGGCCACAUCAGAGAGGCCUACGACUGCAGCAUGGCCUGCCUGCUCAGUGCCCCCAACGACAAACAAGUGAACAAGUUGGCACAGGAGCUAGCUAACAAACUGGGCCUGAAGAUACGCAAAGCGUACAUCAGCACACAUGUGAGCAUCGCUUUUUUAAAGCUGAAGGCCUGUGUUCAAACAUCAUGGCAACUUAAACACAAACAUGUUCUCUUCUCUCCAUAUCCUACAGCUGACUCCUGUAAGUCUCUCUCCAACCCUAUCCCAGUUAGUGAUGAGUCGUCACCCCGUCCCUCUGGUCCUCUGGUCUACUCCAAACAUCUGGGUAGCCCUGUCCAGUGCCCCCUAGGGGUGCCUUUCUCAGUACCUCAGUCAGAGCAGCUGGGUGACAACGAACUGAUGGGAGAUGAUUUGGACAGCCUGCUGGACUGUCUCAAUGACAAGCCCUAUGUUUCUGACUGUACUUUAAACAGUCAGCUUAAGUUACACUCAAACUGUAUCCAUGUCUCACCCUGUCUGUCUUUGUCAGGUCCGGGGGUCUUAGAUUAUAAACACCAGGAACACCUGGCCCACCGUUGUCAGCAGAACAUUCUACUGUGUAGGAUCAAAGCUUUACCUCACCCUGUCUGGAACAGAGUGCGGCCCCGUCCUGCCAAGCAGAACUUUACCGGGGCAUUCAUGCUCUGCAAAGAGGUGCUCGAGUCUCAGGUGUGUAAGUACGGCGAGGACUGUACGUUUGCGUACUGCCAGGAGGAGGUGGAUGUGUGGACUUUGGAGAGGAAGGAGGUCCUGAACAGAGAGCUGCUGUUUGAACGGCAGGGCCCCAACGACAAGACAACACUCAGCAUCACGCGCCUGCUGCAGCUGCAGAACGGCAUGUUCAUGUAUCUCUGUGGGGUGUGCUAUGACAGUAGGCCCAGGAUCAUCAGUAAGCGCAGUAAGGAGGUGCCAUCCAUCUGCUCCAACCUUGCGGGCCGACACCAUUUCGAUGACCAGAAGUGCCUGGUUCAUGUGGUGAGGUCCAGCAGCAUGUCCUACACCAGGAUCCGCCCUCUGAACCCACUGUGCCAGUUGGAGAUGUGCCGCCGGGCAGUGCGCUACCGCUGCCAACGUGACCACAGCUGUUCCUUCGCCCACUCCGUCAUAGAGCUUGAAUGCUGGAAGCUGCAGCAGGACAAUGGCAUCACUCAUGAAGAAAUUGUGCAGGAAUCCAAACAACACUGGAAUAAACAAGAUGAGACCCGAAGAGGUGGAGGAGGCAACAAAUUGAACCUGAACAUGAAGUAUGUCUGUGGUCUGUGCUGGAGGGAUGGGCUGAUCAGUGAAGCAGAUAAAGCACUGAAGUAUUGCACAGCCAAGGCCAGGCACAGUUGGACGAAGGAUCGUCAGGUUCUGUUGGUGAAGUCCUUAGAAAAAAAGAAGUGGGUGAUGGUGCGGACGUUGCCUGCCGCCAAGACAUACCCUCAUCAGUAUGAUAUAUGCUCCCAUGUAGUGAAGCUGAAGAAGUGCCACUACAUUGGGAACUGCACCUUUGCCCACAGUGAGGAGGAGAAGGAAGUGUGGACCUAUAUGAAGAACAAUGGCUUGAAGGACAUGCAGCAGAUGUACGACAUUUGGCUCACAAUGACCAAACAAAACCGUCAGUCAGACCCUGUGCUCGCGCAAAACACGGAAGUGAAGCAAAUCGUCAUGCCAACCGACUAUGCAGACCCAAUGAGUGGCUUCCACUGUCGUCUGUGCGGUAGGCAUAGUCACAGCGAGCGCCAGUGGCAGCAGCACAUCUCCACAAAGAAGCACAAGGAACGCGUAUUUAGCUGCGAAGGCGAGGACGAAAGUCCGAUUUGGAAACAUCGCUUCCCUGGGCCCCGCUUUGCCCUCUGUCCCAGGCUGGAGAGUGAAUGUCCGGAGGGGGCGAGCUGUGACUACGCUCAUGGUACUGAGGAGCUGGAGGAAUGGCAGGAGAGGCGGGAAUUCCUGCGGCGAAAGCUGGCCAAGGCUCGUGAAGACAUGCUCAUCAUGCCGGACGAAUUGGACUUUGGGAAGUAUAACUUUCUCCUGCAGGACUGA